GUUUCGUGAAGAAGUCAAGAUUAAUGCGAUUCAACUUGUCACGUUUAACGGAAAGCUGUGGAUGUUUCAUUUAUUUUAUUUGUUUGACAGAGAGACAGUGUGAGAGAGAACACAAGCACCGGGAGUGGGAGAAGGAGACACAAACCUCCCCCAGAGCAGGGAAACCGAUGGGCAACUGGAUCCCUGGACCCUUGGGAUCCUGACCUGAGCCGAAGGAAGCCGCUUCACUGACUGAGAUACCAGAGUGUUUAAAGAUGUUGCUGGUGAACUGGAAGAGGCAGGCAAGGAGAGGUCAAACCAAAGACGUUUCUUCUUAAAUUUGGAACAUGCGGCAACUGUUUUAUGAAGAAAACUUUUAAGAGGUACUCGGAAAUACACACAUACAUAUACGCAAGAGAAAGAAAAUAAAAAUUUUUUAACAAGGAUAGCUUUUAGAUUUUAUAUAUUUUUGAGAGAGAGAGAGAGAAAGUGCACGUGCAGGAGCUGGGCCAGGGUGGGAGGGGUG
This 505-nucleotide long non-coding RNA is filed under the name Mustela putorius furo (domestic ferret). RNAcentral describes it as "lncRNA (ENSMPUG00000027118.1)". The record is from RNAcentral. Lineage: Eukaryota; Metazoa; Chordata; Mammalia; Carnivora; Mustelidae.